AGGGAGGCAGCAGUGGGGAAUAUUGCACAAUGGGCGAAAGCCUGAUGCAGCGACGCCGCGUGAGCGAAGAAGUAUUUCGGUAUGUAAAGCUCUAUCAGCAGGGAAGAUAAUGACGGUACCUGACUAAGAAGCACCGGCUAAAUACGUGCCAGCAGCCGCGGUAAUACGUAUGGUGCAAGCGUUAUCCGGAUUUACUGGGUGUAAAGGGAGCGUAGGCGGUUUUACAAGUCUGAUGUGAAAGCCCGGGGCUCAACUCCGGUAUUGCAUUGGAAACUGUAGAACUAGAGUGUCGGAGGGGUAAGUGGAAUUCCUAGUGUAGCGGUGAAAUGCGUAGAUAUUAGGAGGAACACCAGUGGCGAAGGCGGCUUACUGGACGAUUACUGACGCUGAGGCUCGAAAGCGUGGGGAGCAAACAGGAUUAGAUACCCUGGUA
Molecule: ribosomal RNA, 433 nt
Filed under: uncultured Pseudobutyrivibrio sp.
Lineage: Bacteria; Bacillati; Bacillota; Clostridia; Lachnospirales; Lachnospiraceae
Description: partial 16S ribosomal RNA
Rfam family: Bacterial small subunit ribosomal RNA
Source: RNAcentral